CUGUUGAGCUUGACUCUAGUCCGACUUUUUGAAAUGACUUGAGAGGUGUAGGAUAAGUGGGAGCUUCGGCGCAAGUGAAAUACCACUACUUUUAACGUUAUUUUACUUACUCCGUGAAUCGGAGGCGGGGUAACAACCCCUUCUUUUGGACCCAAGGCUUGCUUCGGCAGGCCGAUCCGGGCGGAGGACAUUGUCAGGUGGGGAGAUUGGCUGGGGCGGCACAUCUGUUAAAAGAUAAUGCAGGUGUCCUAAGAUGAGCUCAACGAGAACAUAAAUCUGGUGUGGAACAAAAGGGUAAAAGCUCGUUUGACAAGACAGCUCAGGAGAAAAGGAUCAUGCAACUCCAUGAACUUGAGGAGAUUAGGCUUGAGGCUUUUGAAAGCUCAAAG
Molecule: non-coding RNA, 389 nt
Filed under: Eutrema salsugineum
Lineage: Eukaryota; Viridiplantae; Streptophyta; Magnoliopsida; Brassicales; Brassicaceae
Description: Eukaryotic large subunit ribosomal RNA
Rfam family: Eukaryotic large subunit ribosomal RNA
Source: Rfam by way of RNAcentral